This is an unclassified non-coding RNA of Nomascus leucogenys (northern white-cheeked gibbon), 264 nucleotides long. It matches the Rfam family "Metazoan signal recognition particle RNA". From Rfam's summary of the family: The signal recognition particle (SRP) is a universally conserved ribonucleoprotein. It is involved in the co-translational targeting of proteins to membranes. Lineage: Eukaryota; Metazoa; Chordata; Mammalia; Primates; Hylobatidae. The record is from Ensembl.
ACUGUUAGCAGCAUAAGAUUGAGGAGUUGGAAGAGACCUUUAGAACAGCUGGUCAUUAUGCCGACCGGGUGCCUGCACUAAGUUCGGCAUCAAUAUGGUGACCUCCUGGGAGCAGGGGGCCACCAAGUCGCCUAAGGAUGGCUGAACUGGCCCAGGUCAGAAAGGGAGCAGGUCAGAACUCCCGCACCGACUCGUAGUGGAACUGUGCCUGGGCGGUAUAGUAAGAUCUUGGUUCUUAAAAAUAAAGAACAGCAGCUCAUUCCU